RNAcentral lists this ribosomal RNA (253 nucleotides) under uncultured bacterium. RNAcentral describes it as "partial 16S ribosomal RNA". It matches the Rfam family "Bacterial small subunit ribosomal RNA", at positions 524 to 776 of the family's 1533-position model. The record is from RNAcentral.
UACGAAGGGUGCAAGCGUUACUCGGAAUUACUGGGCGUAAAGCGUGCGUAGGUGGUUUGUUAAGUCUGAUGUGAAAGCCCUGGGCUCAACCUGGGAAUUGCAUUGGAUACUGGCAGGCUAGAGUGCGGUAGAGGAUGGCGGAAUUCCCGGUGUAGCAGUGAAAUGCGUAGAGAUCGGGAGGAACAUCUGUGGCGAAGGCAGCUCGCUGGCCUGUAACUGACGCUGAGACGCGAAAGCGUGGGGAGCAAACAGG